AGAGAGGCGCUUUCUCCGCAGCCUGGGAACCUGCCUCGGAUCCCGCAGGGGUUUCCAGCAGCCGCUGCCUGGCUGUGCACUGGGCUCCCCGCUGCUCUCCAUGGACUGAGGCUGCUUGGGCACCAGGCUUUGCAUCAGCAGCACAGAGGGGUCCUCACCGUGGGGGGACUGGACGUGAGCUCCCAGGGACACUGACAAGGAUUUGUGUGUAAUCUACAAUCUGGACUCUAACAUACCAAAGGGCAUUUGUUCACCCCAAAAGGCUUCAUAGUCAAGGAUCAUGGUAGACAUUUUAAUAGUAUCUUUGAGACUUCUCAGUUUCAUAGUGGUAUUAGGAUUUCAGCUGGUCAUCCCACAGACAUCAAUUGAACACAGAAAGGU
Long non-coding RNA from Chelonoidis abingdonii (Abingdon island giant tortoise), 381 nucleotides. RefSeq lists it as uncharacterized. The record is from RefSeq and is a predicted model, not a curated record. NCBI's taxonomy places the organism in Eukaryota, Metazoa, Chordata, Testudines, Testudinidae.